RNAcentral lists this long non-coding RNA (1607 nucleotides) under Aquilegia coerulea. RNAcentral's name for it is "long non-coding RNA (ACOE_LNC001519)". The record is from RNAcentral. Lineage: Eukaryota; Viridiplantae; Streptophyta; Magnoliopsida; Ranunculales; Ranunculaceae.
AGGAGUCUAACAAGCUUCUACCAAGGCGAUAUACCUAUCAGUUGUCCUUUGGAAAAGAUUGAUGUUUUUAGAUGUAGGAAUUUGAAGAAGUUUCCCCUUGCACCACAAACUGCUUCCCAUCUACAAACUUUCGAAGCAGAAACUGAUUGGUUCGAUGCAUUAGAAUGGGCAGAUCAAAGCCAUCACGCAAUAUUCCAGCCUUUCUUUGAAGAGGUAGAUCAUUUAUUUUAUUUUUUCUUCCUUUUUACAUAUGCUUUACAUUUGGGUCUAUGAUUAGGGUGCCAGUAGAGAUUGCAAACUUCUUAUCAUCUGAAUCCAUAAUACUGCUAUGACAUGUUCUUCCAUUUUUUUCUGACAUAUGAAUAUUUUAUUUCGUGAUUUACUAUCCAUAAUACUGCUAUGACAUUUUAUUUUUAUUUUUUUUCAAAAGAUGGCUGAAAGUUAUUACUAGAUUUCUUCUUUUCUUUUUCUGCUUUUCAUUAUCAAAAUGGAAAAUUUUGAAGAUAGGUUGGGGAAUUGUCAGAUAUUAGUCAAAACUUAUUGUGAGAUUUGCUGCAAUAAUCGACAAAAAAAAAAUUGUAUGAGAGUAUGACUAUGAGAUUUCAGGCCAUUGCUUGUUUAGUUAUAGCUUAUUCUUUUUCUAAAGAUAUAUUUGACCGAUAAAACCUAUAUCAAUGCUUUCUAAAUGAAUUUUACGGUGUUAAAAUUAUGUAGCUUUACUUAAAGAAAUUAUGUUUGAUGCAGCAGGCUUAAUUAGCAUCAAUAACAGGAGAUGGUACUAUAAACCAUUGUACCGUCUACCUACUCUGCUACUCAGUUAAGUUUGUCAGAGAUAUACUCUAUCAAGUUAGUAAUAUCCGUAAACUUUAAUCUGAAUUACAUCUUUUUAUUUUUCUCAUAUUGUUCUUGUCUUACAUUUUUGCAGUAAUUCAAAUCUUGAUAAGGAAAAUUUGAUUCCAGACAGCGAUGUUUAAAAACUUGCAGCACAUCAGACUCUUUGGAGUAGCUUCGUCUAUGUUUAUUGUGAUUGCGAUGACCUGGUGUGUAAUCUUACAACUUUUAGUUGCUUUCUUCUUUGUUAUGUUGUUAUUGUGAUUGCGAUGAGCAGAAACUGAUUGGUUCCAUAAAUUAGAAUGGGGAGAUCAAAGUCUGCAGGCAAAAUUCCAUGGCUCAGACAUGCGUUCAACUUCGGUAGAACCAAUUAUAUUGGACAGUUUUGACUUCUUCUCAUUUUGGUUUAUAAAAAAAAUGUACUAUCUGCUUCUGCUUCUGCUUUUCCAAUGGGAGCCAUAUUAAUACUGUUACAGCUGUUUUUUUUAUUUUUAAUUAAAAAAACUGCAGCACGUGCAUAUUCACAUAGUGUAUUGAAUAUGGUAAUUGUAAGCCCACACCAUUAGGUUUCAAGAAGCUUACUAGCUCACUGCUUACACCUCCGGGUGUAGACUACCCAUAUGCAUUGUGUCACAACUCCACCCUUGAAAACAUUGAUUAACAGAUACAGAUCUCAUUAAAUUUUUGUUAAUGAACAGUUAAUUUCUCUGGCGCAAGAUGGACAUGAGAUAACAGAAGGCCUCCUUAACUCUACUGGUAUGAAAAAAAGGAAGUAG